GAUGAAGAACGCAGCGAAAUGCGAUAAGUAAUGCGAAUUGCAGAAUUUCCGUGAGUCAUCGAAUCUUUGAACGCACAUUGCGCCCAUUGGUAUUCCGAUGGGCAUGCCUGUUCGAGCGUCAUUAUCCUCCCUCAAACCCUGGGUUUGGUGUUGGACUCUGGGGGGCGUGCUUGGCCCCCCUGGUCUCAAAGACAAUGACGGCGUCCGUGGGAGCCUCGGUGCAACGAGCUUUUUUUCGAAGCACGCGUCGAGUGUCCUCCCGGCGGGCCGGUCGAGCCUUUUUUUCUUUUGAAGGUUGACCUCGGAUCAGGUAGGAAUACCCGCUGAACUUAAGCAUAUCAAUAAGCCGGAGGA
Molecule: unclassified non-coding RNA, 354 nt
Filed under: soil metagenome
Description: partial contains 5.8S ribosomal RNA, internal transcribed spacer 2, and large subunit ribosomal RNA
Rfam family: 5.8S ribosomal RNA (bases 1-121)
Source: RNAcentral